GAAAAGCUAAUACCGCGAAGCUACCAUCUGUUGGAUUACGACUGAACGCCUCUAAAUCGGAAUCUUCUCUGGCUAUGUAAUGUUGUCAUCAUUGCUGUUUGUAAAUGAGAAAUGUUAAGCUUGGGCAUUAAUUCAUACAAUACCUG
This 146-nucleotide ribosomal RNA is filed under the name Alexandrium tamarense. RNAcentral's name for it is "partial Eukaryotic large subunit ribosomal RNA". Lineage: Eukaryota; Dinophyceae; Gonyaulacales; Pyrocystaceae. The record is from RNAcentral.